UUCCUGCCGGCCCGAGACUAGAACCCACAACCCUUCGAUUGGGAGUCCGACUCUCUAACCAUUAGGCUACGACUUCCCACAUCGCAACCAUUGUCGGGGAUCUAUCUGGUCAAGAUUUGUAUCAAAAGAGCCCGAGGUCAGUCACAGACAGAGUCUGGAGGCACAGAGAUCAGCGAGCGCUAAAGAAGAGCAGCUGGAGGAGAUAUUGAGCUGGAUGAAGGAAAACAAAUCUGUGUUGAUUUGGCACACAAAGGUGUCAGUGACUGCUGCUGUCCUGCUGUUUCCACGUCUGUUAAAGGAGAGUCUGAGAUCUCUUUAUCUCAUCAGUGAGGAACCAGAUACACCCAACCCUGUGCUGUUUAUAAAGGGAUAUGCCUUGGAUGCGGAGUCUCUUUAAGAAAUAAUGAUGGAAGUGGAGGAGGAAGUCUGAACUAGACGAUGUGAACACAGCUCCAAUUAUUAUUAUUUGUUUUAUUAAUGU
Carassius auratus (goldfish) is the source of this 481-nucleotide long non-coding RNA. RefSeq lists it as uncharacterized. The transcript has 4 exons. The record is from RefSeq and is a predicted model, not a curated record. NCBI's taxonomy places the organism in Eukaryota, Metazoa, Chordata, Actinopteri, Cypriniformes, Cyprinidae.